AGAGCGAACGCUGGCGGCAGGCCUAACACAUGCAAGUCGAACGGACCCUUCGGGGUUAGUGGCGGACGGGUGAGUAACACGUGGGAACGUGCCUUUUGGUUCGGAAUAGCUCCUGGAAACGGGUGGUAAUGCCGAAUGUGCCCUUCGGGGGAAAGAUUUAUCGCCAUUAGAGCGGCCCGCGUCUGAUUAGCUAGUUGGUGAGGUAAUGGCUCACCAAGGCGACGAUCAGUAGCUGGUCUGAGAGGAUGACCAGCCACAUUGGGACUGAGACACGGCCCAAACUCCUACGGGAGGCAGCAGGUGGGGAAUCUUGCGCAAGUGGGCGAAAGCCUAGACGCGAGCCAUGCCGUGUGAAUGAUGAAGGUCUAGGUAUUAGUAAAAUUCGUUUACGACCGGGGUAACGAAUAAGU
Molecule: ribosomal RNA, 410 nt
Filed under: uncultured soil bacterium
Lineage: Bacteria
Description: bacterial SSU rRNA
Rfam family: Bacterial small subunit ribosomal RNA
Source: RNAcentral